GAUGAAGAACGUAGCGAAAUGCGAUACUUGGUGUGAAUUGCAGAAUCCCGUGAACCAUCGAGUCUUUGAACGCAAGUUGCGCCCGAAGCCAUUAGGCCGAGGGCACGCCUGCCUGGGCGUCACACGUCGUUGCCCCCCCAUCUACUCCUUCGGGAUUGCGGGGGGCGGAUGAUGGCCUCCCGUGCGCCUCGCCGCGCGGUUGGCAUAAAUGCCAAGUCCUCGGCGACGCACGCCACGACAAUCGGUGGUUGCGAAACCUCGGUUGCCCGUCGUGUGCGGUCGUCGCGCAUCAAGGGCUCGAAAAAAUUGCCGGGUUCCGGCUCGGCUUUCAACGCGACCCCAGGUCAGGCGGGGUUACCCGCUGAAUUUAAGCAUAUCAAUAAGCGGAGGA
Molecule: unclassified non-coding RNA, 391 nt
Filed under: soil metagenome
Description: partial contains 5.8S ribosomal RNA, internal transcribed spacer 2, and large subunit ribosomal RNA
Rfam family: 5.8S ribosomal RNA (bases 1-122)
Source: RNAcentral